RNAcentral lists this ribosomal RNA (253 nucleotides) under uncultured bacterium. RNAcentral's name for it is "partial 16S ribosomal RNA". It matches the Rfam family "Bacterial small subunit ribosomal RNA", at positions 524 to 776 of the family's 1533-position model. The record is from RNAcentral.
UACGGAGGGUGCGAGCGUUAAUCGGAAUUACUGGGCGUAAAGCGCGCGUAGGUGGCUAGAUAAGUCGGAUGUGAAAGCCCCGGGCUUAACCUGGGAACGGCAUUCGAUACUGUCUGACUAGAGUAUGGUAGAGGAAAGCGGAAUUCCCGGUGUAGCGGUGAAAUGCGUAGAUAUCGGGAGGAACAUCAGUGGCGAAGGCGGCUUUCUGGACCAAUACUGACGCUGAGGCGCGAAAGCGUGGGUAGCAAACAGG